Molecule: ribosomal RNA, 246 nt
Filed under: uncultured bacterium
Lineage: Bacteria
Description: partial 16S ribosomal RNA
Rfam family: Bacterial small subunit ribosomal RNA
Source: RNAcentral
AUACGUAGGUGGCAAGCGUUGUCCGGAAUUACUGGGUGUAAAGGGAGAGUAGGCGGGAUUGCAAGUCCGUUGUUAAAUCUAUCGGCUUAACCGGUAGCUGCGGCGGAAACUGUAGUUCUUGAGUGAAGUAGAGGCAGGCGGAAUUCCUAGUGUAGCGGUGAAAUGCGUAGAUAUUAGGAGGAACACCAGUGGCGAAGGCGGCCUGCUGGGCUUUAACUGACGCUGAGGCUCGAAAGUGUGGGGAGC